GGAGAACACAAAUCAAGUAAUUUUGAACUUAUUCGAAAAUAAGAUUAACCAUAAGCACAAAUUUCACCACUUCACUCGCACGUGCACACAAAAUUAUAUGUUAUGCACGCGCAUGCCCAAGAAGUGUGUCAACCUUUUGUUAUUGGGGUUAGCCAUACACUUCAAAUGUUUCGAGCAAUUCACAUAGAAUCAUCAAAUGAUACUUUUUCAAACCUGCUCCCAUUUGAGUCAAGAGAUGAAUAAAUAGAGACAUCUCAUUUCUUGGGAAGAGAAGCAAUUUACAACUGGAGUAAUAAAAAAGAUUGAAUGAAGCUUCAGUGUCCUCAAUCAACUGGUCCACUACAUCAAAUCAGAUAUCGCCGAUCAUAUCCAUUAAACCAGUCUGGACAAACACCUUGACCCUCAACCCAAAACCACCAACCACCACAAAACAAGUUGUUCAAUAACGCAUGACUAAUGGAAAACCAGAUAUCGAAAAAAAAAAAAAAUUUAUAUACCAGUCAGUAAAACAUAUCUUCGUUACUGGGUAAUUGGGGCGACCCUUGAAAAUUAGCUUAACAUUUCGAUUUUAAACACAAGCAAGGCAGAAAAAGUUGACAAAACCAACGGCAUCAUGUUUUUUAUUCCAUUGUACUGAAAGGAAGAAGAUCAUCUAUCCAUAAAAGGUAUACCAUCAAGCAGGAUCUACUAAAAAAUUGAUAAUUCGAGUUCUUUUAAAAGGUAACCACAUGACGUUAUCAGUCAGGAAAAAGGGUCACACAAUUUUUUUUAAAACAAUUAAGCUACAAAUCAAUGUCCAAUGGCAAAGCUAACAUGUGGUUAUUAAAUAAACAAAAUCGAUCAGUAAAAAGUUUCAAAUUUCAUCCUGAAGAUACGACAAAGUUUCUCUUUGGAAUCCAAUGUUCUUAUCACUUUUCAAUUACAACACAACAAUCCAACAUUCUACAGAAAAAUUACCCACAAAAUUCGAGUCAAUGUAUUAUUUCCUGGCAGUGCAAAACAGAUAAAGUUUUCUCAUAUCUACAUCACACGCAUCUCAUAACAAGUUUAAGCAUUACAAUUUACAGCAUGAGACCCAACCCCCCAGCAACGAAAAAGACAGGCAUUAGGAAGUUGUAAUUGUUCUAAAGUCAAAACCAACCACCACAAGCCACAUUUUAUAGAUCUUAAUAAUCUACCUUCCGAAGGUCAGAAGUUCGGGGGAUAGGAGGUGUGCGAUGGCGCGGCGGAGUUGGGGUAAAAGGCGGAGCAUAUAGGAAAUGGUAGGACGGAACAGAAGCUCCAUCGUCUCCACGAACCGGCUCAGGUUCCUCAUCGGCGUCACGUAGAGUGUCAGCGGCGCCGCCGCUGAUAUCACAGCCAAGAACAGAUGCAGCAUUAUUUUUCUAUAUACAAUAAUGUAUGUAUUGAUUAACAGUAGAGAAAAUGGAGGGUUUUUGUACAGAAUGAGGAAGGUGGGAUUGACACUGACUGACUCAUUGAUAGCUUU
RNAcentral lists this long non-coding RNA (1489 nucleotides) under Olea europaea subsp. europaea. The record is from RNAcentral. Lineage: Eukaryota; Viridiplantae; Streptophyta; Magnoliopsida; Lamiales; Oleaceae.